CGAAAGCCUGACGGAGCAACGCCGCGUGAGGGAUGAAGGCCUCUGGGCUGUAAACUUCUUUUCUCAAGGAAGAAGAUCUGACAGUACUUGAGGAAUAAGCCACGGCUAAUUCCGUGCCAGCAGCCGCGGUAAUACGGGAGUGGCAAGCGUUAUCCGGAAUUAUUGGGCGUAAAGCGUCCGCAGGCGGCCUUUCAAGUCUGCUGUUAAAUCGUGGAGCUUAACUCCAUCAUGGCAGUGGAAACUGUUGGGCUUGAGUGUGGUAGGGGCAGAGGGAAUUCCCGGUGUAGCGGUGAAAUGCGUAGAUAUCGGGAAGAACACCAGUGGCGAAGGCGCUCUGCUGGGCCAUUACUGACGCUCAUGGACGAAAGCCAGGGGAGCG
RNAcentral lists this ribosomal RNA (379 nucleotides) under uncultured cyanobacterium. RNAcentral describes it as "SSU rRNA". It matches the Rfam family "Bacterial small subunit ribosomal RNA", at positions 376 to 770 of the family's 1533-position model. Lineage: Bacteria; Bacillati; Cyanobacteriota. The record is from RNAcentral.